RNAcentral lists this long non-coding RNA (3018 nucleotides) under Sus scrofa (pig). Its description in RNAcentral is "lncRNA (ENSSSCG00005045781.1)". Lineage: Eukaryota; Metazoa; Chordata; Mammalia; Artiodactyla; Suidae. The record is from RNAcentral.
AGUGUUUCCCCGUCUGUCUUAGGGCUCAGGCUCCUUCCCGACCCGCCCGCAUCCAGGGUAGUUUGUUUUUAAUCCUUAAAUUAGCAAGCCCGGUUUACCUGAACAAACACGCUUAGCAGGGAACCAAUUUUAUUACCUUCCCGGGGCGAUCUCACUCGGUCCUUCCCGGGCUUGACAAAAGCAGAGGGCCGCGCGUGGCGCUGAAGCCCAGGCUACCCCACAGACCUGAAAGACUUUCUCGCCUCCCACUCGAGUGGACCAAGCACACGGUGCACGUGGAGUGUGCUGCUCUUCCUGCCCUGCGUGCUCUUGAAAUCCAUCCUCAGCGAAGGGCGAGGCUUUUGACCCCAUGGGAACUGGAAGUGCGCCUGACUUCUCCAAGUGGGUGAGGGAGGCAGCUCUGUGUGGGGAACCUGGGUUUGUGCUUCCUCUUGCGUUGUCUAUGUUGUAAAUGUACUGUCUGAUCAACACUUUUAUGAAAAAACUUUUCUUGUUUUCCCUGGUAUUUCAAGGUAUACAACUCAGACACGCAUGAGUCAACACUAGAGGCUGGGGCUUCUUCAGUGAGAAUCUCUGAUGAUUUCAGAGUAGACCCAGGGAGCACAGGGGCCGCUCCCAGACAACAGCUCCCCUUUUAGCAUCCCUGGAGCCUCACACAUAGAUACGGUGACACGUCACAUCUUUUAUUUGCUCACUUGUUCUCCCCACUAGUUUCUAAGUCCCUAGAAACUAGAGAUGGUGCCACAUGUAUGUCCCUAGCACCCCUGUGCUGUGAGUAUGGCAAAGAGCAUCUGCCUAAAAAACAGUCCACCAACAGAGAAAAGAAGGCAAGAAAGUGGAGGGAGCAGAGGCUGGAGGCAGGCAGCUGGGAAGCCCACCUCCUUCACUCCAGCUUCCUCUGCUAAUAGCUAGCUCAGUUGUAACAGCCUUUUUGGCACACUUAACACUUCUUGGGAUUAUCAGCAACAUCUCUCCUUAAAAGGGAGCCCCUGAAAAAAGGGGGACAAAGGGGCCUGUCUUCUUGCCAGCCACAUAGUACUUGGGAGUAAGGUGUUUGCUGGAUCUGUUAAAUAUAUUACACUGAUAAAAACACAGCCCUGCUUGGACAGAUGCCUUAACUAGAAAUCAAAGGAGUGAAAACAAGAAUAGUAUAAAUUAUUCAGGCGAACAAAUCAAUAAGCAUAAAAUAUGAGAGAGAAAGGAACUCUGAAAUAGAUAAUACAGCCUGAAUUAAUUGAUCAAAAUAUAUUUUGGAAACCUUAUAGAAUUUCCUUUUAAAAUAGUCAAAGCCGAUUUCAGUGGAAAGGCCAUCCCAGGAUUUAUUAUGCAUGUGAUAUAAAGCUACAUAUACUGGAGAAAAGUGGGCAGAAAAGUGUUUUUCAAUCAACACUGAAGCCCCUAGCCAGAGAAGGUCAUCCCAGGGCACUGCAUGUAGAGGUGGAUAGAGAGUUGUUAGUUUAAGCCCUGAGAUGGGAAGUCUGCUGAAUUAAAGGGGCUGCUACUUUGGAGCUCUCCAGAGCACACACAGGCACAGACACCAAUGCAGCAAAUAUCUUCUGAGACGCCCCCAUUGGCUGGGGUUGGGGCCCUGUCCUUCAAGUGUAGGUGGGAGAACAAUUGCAUUGGUCAGAGACCACAGAAGUUCCCCAGGACGCAGCUGGUCUCGCAGGAAGGCCCCAUGCGCAGAAAGCUGCGCACUUUAGAAUGUGUCCUUUUUUCUUCCAGUUAUACAUAUAUAUUCUUUUUCGUAUUCUUUCCCAUUAUGUUUUGUCACAGAAUAUUGUAUAUGGUUCCUUGUGCUAUGCAAUAGAACCUUAUUGUUUACCCAUCCUAUAUUUAAUAGUUGGCCUCUGCUAAUCCCAAACUCCCAAUCCAUUCUUCUCUCAUCCCCUCCCCCACAUCUUGGCAACCACAAGUCUGUUCUCUAUAUCCAUGAGUUUGUUUUUGUUUUGUAGAUAUGUUUAUUUGUGUCCUAUUUUAGAUUCCACACGUAAGUGAUAUCAUAUGGUUUGUUUUUUUGUUUUUUUGUUUUUUUUUUUGUCUUUCUCUUUCUGACUUACUUCGCUUAGUAUGAGAAUCUUUAGGUAGGUCCAUCCAUGUUGCUGCAAAUGGCAGAUUUCAUUCUUUUUAUUUUUUUUUUUUGUCUUUUUUAGGGCCACACCCAAGGCAUAUGGAGGUUCCCAGGCUAAUCAGAGCUGUAGCCGCCGGCCUACACCACAGCCACAGCAACGCAGGAUCCAAGCUGCAUCUGUGACCUACACCACAGUUCACGGCAACACCGUAUCCUUAACCUACUGAGUGAGGCCAGGGAUCGGACCCGCAAUCUCAUGGUUCCUAGUUGGAUUUGUUAAUCACCGAGCCACGACGGGAACUCUUCAUUCUUUUUAGUGGUUAUGUAAUAUUCAUAUUUUUAUAUAUCUCUAUCUGUAUAUAUCACAUCUUCUUUAUUCAUAGAAUGUCCACUUCGAAAGCACAUAGUAGAUAUUUCCAUUGAGUUUUCCAGCUUUUUAAACCCGUUCAAGUUCAUAAGCCCAUGUAAUACAAUUAUUUUAAAAAGCUAUAUGGUAAAUUAGUUUAUUGACAUUUUCAAACUUUUUCACCUUGGGCUAGGAAAAUAUGAAUUUGAUGUAAUAUUCAAAUAAGGGCUAAAAAGAAAGUGGAAUUCAAUAAGGGGUUGACUAGAGCUAUGGUUCAGGAAAACAUAAUUAUUCAAAUCUUGAGACAAAUAUUUCUAGGUAAUAAUGACUUCUGAAUGUAAAGUUUUUAAAUAGUUUCAAGUACAUUCUGAACAGUACUUUCUAUUGCAGCUUAAUUUUUGUAGAAACAAAAAAAGUGAUGAACUUUGCAAAUGUGUAGAAUGUUUAUAAAAUGCAGUAUCUUCUAUGCUUUUAUACCAGUAUCCUAAAAAACAUAGGCAGACAAAAGGACACAUUUUCUCAUUUUCAGUAGCUCCUCUUAAAGAAAUUGAACUGACAGGGUAAUUCCUCCAUAUUUGAGAGGCUAAAAUUGUGGUAAAAA